UGACAUGUGUGCGAGUCAACGGGUGAGUAAACACGCAAGGCGCAAGGAAGCUGAUUAGCGGGAUCCCCCUCGUGGGUUGCACCGCCGACCGACCUUGAUCUUCUGAGAAGGGUUCGAGUGUGAGCAUGCCUGUUG
RNAcentral lists this non-coding RNA (135 nucleotides) under Helianthus annuus (common sunflower). RNAcentral's name for it is "Eukaryotic large subunit ribosomal RNA". It matches the Rfam family "Eukaryotic large subunit ribosomal RNA", at positions 676 to 811 of the family's 3401-position model. The record is from Rfam by way of RNAcentral. Lineage: Eukaryota; Viridiplantae; Streptophyta; Magnoliopsida; Asterales; Asteraceae.